UACUGGGUUGACCCCAACCAGGGCUGUGCUCGGGACGCCUUCAGGGUGUUCUGCAACUUCACAGCGGGAGGAGAGACCUGUGUGCUGCCUCGGGAUGACGUCACACAGUUCUCCUACGUGGACUCGGAGGGCUCCCCAGUAGGCGUGGUCCAGCUCACCUUCCUGAGGCUGCUCAGCGUCUCCGCCCACCAGGACGUGUCCUACCCGUGCUCUGGGGCGGCCCCGGAAGGCCAGCUGAAGCUCAAGGGAGCCAAUGAGGAUGAGCUGAGCCCGGACACCAGCCCCUAUGUCAAGGAAUUCAGACAGGGCUGUCAGACACAGCAAGGCCGGAGGGUGCUGGAGGUGCGGACACCUGUGCUGGAGCAGCUGCCAGUGCUGGACGCCUCCUUC
Molecule: long non-coding RNA, 390 nt
Organism: Artibeus jamaicensis (Jamaican fruit-eating bat)
Lineage: Eukaryota; Metazoa; Chordata; Mammalia; Chiroptera; Phyllostomidae
Exons: 3
Source: RefSeq, a predicted model, not a curated record